UGCGUAGGCGGAUCAAGAAGUCAGUGGUGAAAUCUCUCGGCUCAACCGGGAAACUGCCAUUGAUACUGUUGAUCUUGAGUUCGGUUGAGGUAGGCGGAAUGUGUAAUGUAGCGGUGAAAUGCUUAGAUAUUACACAGAACACCAAUUGCGUAGGCAGCUUACUAGACCGACACUGACGCUGAGGCACGAAAGCGUGGGGAGCGAACAGGAUUAGAUACCCUGGUAGUCC
RNAcentral lists this ribosomal RNA (229 nucleotides) under uncultured bacterium. RNAcentral's name for it is "partial 16S ribosomal RNA". It matches the Rfam family "Bacterial small subunit ribosomal RNA", at positions 568 to 796 of the family's 1533-position model. The record is from RNAcentral.